UACGUAGGGUGCGAGCGUUGUCCGGAAUUAUUGGGCGUAAAGAGCUUGUAGGCGGUCUGUCGCGUCUGCUCUGAAAGCCCGGGGCUCAACCCUGGGAGGCGGGUGGAUACUGUCGAGCUCGAGUCCGGAAGAGGCGAGUGGAAUUCCUGGUGUAGCGGUGAAAUGCGCAGAUAUCAGGAGGAACACCAAUGGCGAAGGCGACUACCUGGCCUGUUCUUGACGCUGAGGCGCGAAAGCUAGGGGAGCAAACGGG
Molecule: ribosomal RNA, 253 nt
Filed under: uncultured bacterium
Lineage: Bacteria
Description: partial 16S ribosomal RNA
Rfam family: Bacterial small subunit ribosomal RNA
Source: RNAcentral